AUCAUGAUUUACAUUUGAGUGAGUGGCGAACUGGUGAGUAACACGUGGGAAACCUGCCCAGAAGCGGGGGAUAACACCUGGAAACAGAUGCUAAUACCGCAUAACAACUUGGACCGCAUGGUCCGAGCUUGAAAGAUGGCUUCGGCUAUCACUUUUGGAUGGUCCCGCGGCGUAUUAGCUAGAUGGUGGGGUAACGGCUCACCAUGGCAAUGAUACGUAGCCGACCUGAGAGGGUAAUCGGCCACAUUGGGACUGAGACACGGCCCAAACUCCUACGGGAGGCAGCAGUAGGGAAUCUUCCACAAUGGACGAAAGUCUGAUGGAGCAACGCCGCGUGAGUGAAGAAGGGUUUCGGCUCGUAAAACUCUGUUGUUAAAGAAGAACAUAUCUGAGAGUAACUGUUCAGGUAUUGACGGUAUUUAACCAGAAAGCCACGGCUAACUACGUAGCCAGCAGCCGCGGUAAUACGUAGGUGGCAAGCGUUGUCCGGAUUUAUUGGGCGUAAAGCGAGCGCAGGCGGUUUUUUAAGUCUGAUGUGAAAGCCUUCGGCUCAACCGAAGAAGUGCAUCGGAAACUGGGAAACUUGAGUGCAGAAGAGGACAGUGGAACUCCAUGUGUAGCGGUGAAAUGCGUAGAUAUAUGGAAGAACACCAGUGGCGAAGGCGGCUGUCUGGUCUGUAACUGACGCUGAGGCUCGAAAGUAUGGGUAGCAAACAGGAUUAGAUACCCUGGUAGUCCAUACCGUAAACGAUGAAUGCUAAGUGUUGGAGGGUUUCCGCCCUUCAGUGCUGCAGCUAACGCAUUAAGCAUUCCGCCUGGGGAGUACGGCCGCAAGGCUGAAACUCAAAGGAAUUGACGGGGGCCCGCACAAGCGGUGGAGCAUGUGGUUUAAUUCGAAGCUACGCGAAGAACCUUACCAGGUCUUGACAUACUAUGCAAAUCUAAGAGAUUAGACGUUCCCUUCGGGGACAUGGAUACAGGUGGUGCAUGGUUGUCGUCAGCUCGUGUCGUGAGAUGUUGGGUUAAGUCCCGCAACGAGCGCAACCCUUAUUAUCAGUUGCCAGCAUUAAGUUGGGCACUCUGGUGAGACUGCCGGUGACAAACCGGAGGAAGGUGGGGAUGACGUCAAAUCAUCAUGCCCCUUAUGACCUGGGCUACACACGUGCUACAAUGGAUGGUACAACGAGUUGCGAACUCGCGAGAGUAAGCUAAUCUCUUAAAGCCAUUCUCAGUUCGGAUUGUAGGCUGCAACUCGCCUACAUGAAGUCGGAAUCGCUAGUAAUCGCGGAUCAGCAUGCC
This 1299-nucleotide ribosomal RNA is filed under the name Lactiplantibacillus plantarum subsp. plantarum. Its description in RNAcentral is "bacterial SSU rRNA". It matches the Rfam family "Bacterial small subunit ribosomal RNA", at positions 71 to 1358 of the family's 1533-position model. The record is from RNAcentral. Lineage: Bacteria; Bacillati; Bacillota; Bacilli; Lactobacillales; Lactobacillaceae.